Molecule: long non-coding RNA, 1854 nt
Organism: Equus caballus (horse)
Lineage: Eukaryota; Metazoa; Chordata; Mammalia; Perissodactyla; Equidae
Source: Ensembl
CUUUACCCAUCUGCUUCACAUCUCGUUAGCAGAAGGAUCCUAGUGAGACAGAGGCUUUGACCACAUCUCUGUUCUCUAGAGAAGGGCCCUACCCCUGGACUUUUUCCUGGUGGAAAGAAUCCUGACUGGUAGAUCGUCUGUGGUGACCAAAACGACUCUUAGAAAAACACUCACAAUAAAUAUGCCUGUGGAAAAGAAAUGACAAUUCAGGAGUUUGCAGUGUUUCAGAUGCUGGAGAUCCUAAGGUAGUAUAAUGAUGAAACUCCAGGAGGAAUUUAUUCACAAGACUAACAGACCCACAUGGCAUCCUUUAAUGCACAAUACUGAAUGCUGACACGGUUCUGCAAGCAUUGACAAAUGCUUGCUGAAGUGAAGUCCUCGUGGAUGACAUUAGCGCCCUUAUAAAAGAGACCCCAGCAAGCUCCCUCGCCCUUCCACUUUGUGAGGACACAGCCAGAAGACAACUGGCUGUAAGCCAGGAAGCAGGCCUUCAUCAGACGCCAAAUCUGCCAGGGUCUUCGUCUUGGACUUUCCAGCCUCCAGAAGUUGUAAGAAAUGAAUGUCUGUUGUUUAAAAGUCACCCAGUCUAUGGUGCUUUGCUAUAGCAGCCAGAAUGGACUAAAACAAGCUGCGAUGGGGGUCACCUACUUGUAAUAAGGUGGUCAACGAAAGCUUCUCUGAAGAGUAACAUUUAAACUAAAACCUACAGAGGAGUAGGAGUUUAUCUUUCAAAAGUGGGUAGAAGAAUAUUUAGGGCAGAGAAAAUAGCAUGUCCAAAGGCCCUGAGGCAGGAAAGAACUUGACAUAUUCAACGAACUGAGAGAAGGCCGAAGGGGCUGGAGCACGUUGAGAGAGGAAGUAAUAAAAUUAGGUUGGAGAGAUUUCAUCAGGUCAAUGAUCUUUAUACUGAUUCUACCCCCAAUAACGGAUGCCACUUUACUUUCCUCCCAUCCGUCACUUCCAAAUUUUUCUCAACCCUUGCCAAGCUGGAGGAAUGAAAGAAUCAGCCCACUGCAAAUAUUGUCAGUCUGCCUGGCUUCUGCCUCUGCCACACAGGAUUGAGGUUGUGGAAAUUUCAUCUAUAAAUUCAGUGUCAUUUCAAAACCUCAGACCAAUCUCAGCUUCUGCUAGCAGGGCUUUAAGGAGCAAAUUGCCAAGGACUUUGGAACUCAGUCUCAUAUGUCCAUUGGUGGUCUAGCUCUGGUUUUGUGCCUGUGCUCAUAAAGAGCUCCUACCCUCUCUUGAAGAUCUGGUCCUAAACAAUUCUUAUAAAUGCAUUCAUUCCUUCAAGUCAUUUAUUCGGUUUUUGUUGAGGGACUUCCUCUGGGUAAGGCACCGUCUUAGGCCCUGAGGAUAUAAAGACAAGAUGGCUGCCUCCUCUGGGUGCUCACAGGGUAGGAGGCAAGCAGGCAGUGGGUGAGUGCAGCGACAGAGAGCACAGUCUGUGGAGCUCAGGAAAGGCUUCUGAGAAGAGAGACAAAGAUAAGGAAACUGAGUCAAGCACAGGGGACAAGUGAGAGGAGCAGAGUAGAGAGUGGGGCAGAGCCUUCUAGGCAGGAUCUGAGGAGGCAAGAUACGAUGUGGUGAGAGUGAAGAACUCUUAGCAGCAACCAGAUCCUGGCCACGUGUCUGUCAUGCCAGGAUCUGGACUUACAUUGCUCUUCCCAGGCACCAGCUGUGCACCUGAACUCAGGGCCACUGACCUGUGCAGACUUUCCUCGUGUAGACUUGGUGCCCUUCAGAACCUGCUCUGGGAUCCGCCAUUGUAGUAUUCUGCCCGUUUAUUGGGGACAUAGUGGCCUGUCAUCUGCUGUAGUCUCCUGAUCCUGCCCUGCUGUUCCUCCCUGCAUUUAU